CCUACGGGGGGCUGCAGUGGGGAAUAUUGGGCAAUGGAGGAAACUCUGACCCAGCAACGCCGCGUGAAUGAUGAAGGUCCUCGGAUUGUUAAGCUCCUUUCUAAGGGAAGAAGAAAGUGACGGUACUUUAGGAAUAAGCCUCGGUUAACUACGUGCCAGCAGCCGCGGUAAUACGUAGGAGGCAUGCGUUAUCCGGAAUGACUGGGUGUAAAGGGUGCGUAGGUGGGUUGAUAAGUUGGUAGCGUAACUCCGCGGCUCAACCUCGGCACUACUACCAAAACUGUCGGACUUGAGUGCAGGGGAGGCAAGUGGAAUUCGUGGUGUAGCGGUGGAAUGCGUAGAUAUUAGGAAGAACACCAGUGGCGAAGGCAGGUUGCUGGACUGUAACUGACGCUGAGGCACGAAAGCGUGGGGAGCAAACAGGAUUAGAUACCCGGGUAGUC
This 443-nucleotide ribosomal RNA is filed under the name uncultured bacterium. RNAcentral's name for it is "partial 16S ribosomal RNA". It matches the Rfam family "Bacterial small subunit ribosomal RNA", at positions 338 to 795 of the family's 1533-position model. The record is from RNAcentral.